ACGAACGCUGGCGGCGUGCCUAAUACAUGCAAGUCGAGCGGACGAAUCGAAAGCUUGCUUUUGAUUCGUUAGCGGCGGACGGGGGAGUAACACGUGGGCAACCUGCCCUGUAGACGGGGAUAACACCGAGAAAUCGGUGCUAAUACCGGAUAACACGAAAUGUCGCAUGACGUUUCGUUGAAAGACGGCGCAAGCUGUCGCUACAGGAUGGGCCCGCGGCGCAUUAGCUAGUUGGUGAGGUAACGGCUCACCAAGGCGACGAUGCGUAGCCGACCUGAGAGGGUGAUCGGCCACACUGGGACUGAGACACGGCCCAGACUCCUACGGGAGGCAGCAGUAAGGAAUCUUCCGCAAUGGACGAAAGUCUGACGGAGCAACGCCGCGUGAGCGAAGAAGGCCUUCGGGUCGUAAAGCUCUGUUGUUAGGGAAGAACAAGUAACGCAGUAACUGGCGUUACCGUGACGGUACCUAACGAGAAAGCCACGGCUAACUACGUG
This 497-nucleotide ribosomal RNA is filed under the name uncultured bacterium. RNAcentral's name for it is "partial 16S ribosomal RNA". It matches the Rfam family "Bacterial small subunit ribosomal RNA", at positions 29 to 507 of the family's 1533-position model. The record is from RNAcentral.